This 502-nucleotide ribosomal RNA is filed under the name uncultured bacterium. RNAcentral's name for it is "bacterial SSU rRNA". It matches the Rfam family "Bacterial small subunit ribosomal RNA", at positions 373 to 885 of the family's 1533-position model. The record is from RNAcentral.
UGGCGAAAGCCUGACGCAGCGACGCCGCGUGAGGGAUGACGGCCUUCGGGUUGUAAACCUCUUUCAGCAGGGACGAAGCGUAAGUGACGGUACCUGCAGAAGAAGCACCGGCUAACUACAUGCCAGCAGCCGCGGUAAUACGUAGGGUGCGAGCGUUGUCCGGAAUUACUGGGCGUAAAGAGCUCGUAGGCGGUUUGUCACGUCGUCUGUGAAAUCCUAGGGCUUAACCCUGGACGUGCAGGCGAUACGGGCUGACUUGAGUACUACAGGGGAGACUGGAAUUCCUGGUGUAGCGGUGGAAUGCACAGAUAUCAGGAAGAACACCGAUGGCGAAGGCAGGUCUCUGGGUAGUAACUGACGCUGAGGAGCGAAAGCAUGGGUAGCGAACAGGAUUAGAUACCCUGGUAGUCCAUGCCGUAAACGGUGGGCGCUAGGUGUGGGGUUCCUUCCACGGGCUCCGCGCCGUAGCUAACGCAUUAAGCGCCCCGCCUGGGGAGUACGG